GCGCGGAUGGUGGAAUUGGUAGACACGAGGGACUUAAAAUCCCUUGCCCUAAACCGGCGUGCGGGUUCGAUUCCCGCUCUGCGCACCA
RNAcentral lists this transfer RNA (88 nucleotides) under Candidatus Saccharimonadota bacterium. RNAcentral's name for it is "tRNA-Leu". It matches the Rfam family "tRNA". Rfam says of the family: Transfer RNA (tRNA) molecules are approximately 80 nucleotides in length. Their secondary structure includes four short double-helical elements and three loops (D, anti-codon, and T loops). Further hydrogen bonds mediate the characteristic L-shaped molecular structure. tRNAs have two regions of fundamental functional importance: the anti-codon, which is responsible for specific mRNA codon recognition, and the 3' end, to which the tRNAs corresponding amino acid is attached (by aminoacyl-tRNA synthetases). tRNAs cope with the degeneracy of the genetic code in two manners: having more than one tRNA (with a specific anti-codon) for a particular amino acid; and 'wobble' base-pairing, i.e. permitting non-standard base-pairing at the 3rd anti-codon position. The record is from RNAcentral. RNAcentral also lists the same sequence under 1 other name. Lineage: Bacteria; Candidatus Saccharimonadota.